GACGAACGCUGGCGGCGUGCCUAAUACAUGCAAGUAGAACGCUGAAGAGAGGAGCUUGCUCUUCUUGGAUGAGUUGCGAACGGGUGAGUAACGCGUAGGUAACCUGCCUUGUAGCGGGGGAUAACUAUUGGAAACGAUAGCUAAUACCGCAUAACAAUGGAUGACACAUGUCAUUUAUUUGAAAGGGGCAAUUGCUCCACUACAAGAUGGACCUGCGUUGUAUUAGCUAGUAGGUGAGGUAAUGGCUCACCUAGGCGACGAUACAUAGCCGACCUGAGAGGGUGAUCGGCCACACUGGGACUGAGACACGGCCCAGACUCCUACGGGAGGCAGCAGUAGGGAAUCUUCGGCAAUGGGGGCAACCCUGACCGAGCAGCGCCGCGUGAGUGAAGAAGGUUUUCGGAUCGUAAAGCUCUGUUGUAAGUCAAGAACGGGUGUGAGAGUGGAAAGUUCACACUGUGACGGUAGCUUACCAGAAAGGGACGGCUAACUACGUG
This 497-nucleotide ribosomal RNA is filed under the name uncultured bacterium. Its description in RNAcentral is "partial 16S ribosomal RNA". It matches the Rfam family "Bacterial small subunit ribosomal RNA", at positions 28 to 507 of the family's 1533-position model. The record is from RNAcentral.